Molecule: ribosomal RNA, 541 nt
Filed under: Bifidobacterium breve
Lineage: Bacteria; Bacillati; Actinomycetota; Actinomycetes; Bifidobacteriales; Bifidobacteriaceae
Description: bacterial SSU rRNA
Rfam family: Bacterial small subunit ribosomal RNA
Source: RNAcentral
UGGUAAUGCCGGAUGCUCCAGUUGAUCGCAUGGUCUUCUGGGAAAGCCUUUGCGGCAUGGGAUGGGGUCGCGUCCUAUCAGCUUGAUGGCGGGGUAACGGCCCACCAUGGCUUCGACGGGUAGCCGGCCUGAGAGGGCGACCGGCCACAUUGGGACUGAGAUACGGCCCAGACUCCUACGGGAGGCAGCAGUGGGGAAUAUUGCACAAUGGGCGCAAGCCUGAUGCAGCGACGCCGCGUGAGGGAUGGAGGCCUUCGGGUUGUAAACCUCUUUUGUUAGGGAGCAAGGCAUUUUGUGUUGAGUGUACCUUUCGAAUAAGCACCGGCUAACUACGUGCCAGCAGCCGCGGUAAUACGUAGGGUGCAAGCGUUAUCCGGAAUUAUUGGGCGUAAAGGGCUCGUAGGCGGUUCGUCGCGUCCGGUGUGAAAGUCCAUCGCUUAACGGUGGAUCCGCGCCGGGUACGGGCGGGCUUGAGUGCGGUAGGGGAGACUGGAAUUCCCGGUGUAACGGUGGAAUGUGUAGAUAUCGGGAAAGAACACCA